CCUGGUGGCACGUUGCGGGGGAUGCAGAGGAGCCCGCGCCGGGCAGCGACGCAGCUCCCAGGCAGCCCGGUCCCGGCACAGGGCUCCGGCGCGAGGCUGAGUGGCGCUGGGAGCCUCAGCCGCCGAUCCCGUCUGUCGCCGGAGAGCUGGGUUCCUCAUCGCUGGCGUUAGCUCGUGACGAGGAAGGGACCUGCCCGUGUGGGACUGGCCGCGCAGCAGCGUGUCCCAGGCCAGCCCCGGGACAGGCCAGGACAAACUCCAUGGCAAGAUACCAGCUAUAAACGUCUUUCUGGGUGUGUGGAUUGCGAAUAAAGACCUAUAUCGCUUUAGUGGUAUUACAGGACCUGAACAUUGCCACUUCGGUGGUUUUGUCAUAAGCAUGAAAAUGGUUGAGACUUUUCCUAAAGCUCCGCU
This is a long non-coding RNA of Dromaius novaehollandiae (emu), 414 nucleotides long. RefSeq lists it as uncharacterized. NCBI's taxonomy places the organism in Eukaryota, Metazoa, Chordata, Aves, Casuariiformes, Dromaiidae. The record is from RefSeq and is a predicted model, not a curated record. The transcript is spliced from 3 exons.